This 589-nucleotide small RNA is filed under the name Pan troglodytes (chimpanzee). RNAcentral describes it as "processed transcript". Lineage: Eukaryota; Metazoa; Chordata; Mammalia; Primates; Hominidae. The record is from RNAcentral.
AGAUGCUGCCAGGGUCCCUGAAGAGGGAAGACACGCGGAAACAGAUCCUCCCAAGAAGGUGACCACAGUGAUUCAAAACCCCACGCCGAUUCGAGAAGGAGACACAGUGACCCUUUCCUGCAACUACAAUUCCAGUAACCCCAGUGUUACCCGGUAUGAAUGGAAACCCCAUGGCGCCUGGGAGGAGCCAUCGCUUGGGGUGCUGAAGAUCCAAAACGUUGGCUGGGGCAACACAACCAUCGCCUGCGCAGCUUGUAACAGUUGGUGCUCGUGGGCCUCCCCUGUCGCCCUGAAUGUCCAGUAUGCCCCCCGAGACGUGAGGGUCCGGAAAAUCAAGCCCCUUUCCGAGAUUCACUCUGGAAACUCGGUCAGCCUCCAAUGUGACUUCUCAAGCAGCCACCCCAAAGAAGUCCAGUUCUUCUGGGAGAAAAAUGGCAGGCUUCUGGGGAAAGAAAGCCGGCUGAAUUUUGACUCCAUCUCCCCAGAAGAUGCUGGGAGUUACAGCUGCUGGGUGAACAACUCCAUAGGACAGACAGCGUCCAAGGCCUGGACACUCGAAGUGCUGUAUGCACCCAGGAGGCUGCGUGUG